This 562-nucleotide ribosomal RNA is filed under the name uncultured bacterium. Its description in RNAcentral is "partial 16S ribosomal RNA". It matches the Rfam family "Bacterial small subunit ribosomal RNA", at positions 355 to 935 of the family's 1533-position model. The record is from RNAcentral.
UGGGGAAUAUUGGGUAAUGGGCGCAAGCCUGACCCAGCAAUGCCGCGUGGGUGAAGAAGGUCCUCGGAUCGUAAAGCCCUUUCGGCGGGGACGAUGGUGACGGUACCCGCAGAAGAAGCCCCGGCUAACUUCGUGCCAGCAGCCGCGGUAAUACGAAGGGGGCUAGCGUUGCUCGGAAUGACUGGGCGUAAAGGGCGCGUAGGCGGCGCGGUCAGUCGGGCGUGAAAGCCCCGGGCUCAACCCGGGGACGGCGCCCGGGACGGCCGUGCUGGAGGACGGGAGAGGGCCCGCGGAAAUUCCCCAGUGUAGAGGUGAAAUUCGUAGAUAUUGGGAAGAACACCGGUGGCGAAGGCGGCGGCCUGGCCCGUGCCUGACGCUGAGGCGCGACAGCGUGGGGAGCAAACAGGAUUAGAUACCCUGGUAGUCCACGCCGUAAACGAUGUGCGCUGGGUGUCGGGGCCCCUAGGGCCUCGGUGCCGCAGCCAACGCGUAAGCGCACCGGCCCUGGGGAGUACGGCCGCAAGGUUGAAACUCAAAUGAAUUGACGGGGUCAUAGCUGUUU